GGUUGUGGCUCAGUGGUAAAGCGUUUGCCUAGCACGAGCGAGGCCCUGGGUUGGAUCCUCAGCACCA
RNAcentral lists this transfer RNA (67 nucleotides) under Marmota monax (woodchuck). Its description in RNAcentral is "tRNA.Ala". The record is from RNAcentral. Lineage: Eukaryota; Metazoa; Chordata; Mammalia; Rodentia; Sciuridae.